ACGUAGGUGGCGAGCGUUGUCCGGAAUUACUGGGUGUAAAGGGUGCGUAGGCGGAUUUGCAAGUCAGACGUGAAAACUAUCGGCUUAACCGGUAGCCUGCGUUUGAAACUGUGAGUCUUGAGUAGUGAAGAGGAAAGCGGAAUUCCUAGUGUAGAGGUGAAAUGCGUAGAUAUCAGGAGGAACACCGGUGGCGAAGGCGGCUUUCUGGGCCUAUACUGACGCUGAGACGCGAGAGCGUGGGUAGCAAACAG
RNAcentral lists this ribosomal RNA (251 nucleotides) under uncultured prokaryote. Its description in RNAcentral is "partial 16S rRNA". It matches the Rfam family "Bacterial small subunit ribosomal RNA", at positions 525 to 775 of the family's 1533-position model. The record is from RNAcentral.